This 551-nucleotide ribosomal RNA is filed under the name Aspergillus sp. RNAcentral's name for it is "LSU rRNA". It matches the Rfam family "Eukaryotic large subunit ribosomal RNA", at positions 95 to 660 of the family's 3401-position model. Lineage: Eukaryota; Fungi; Ascomycota; Eurotiomycetes; Eurotiales; Aspergillaceae. The record is from RNAcentral.
GAAGCGGCAAGAGCUCAAAUUUGAAAGCUGGCCCCUUCGGGGUCCGCGUUGUAAUUUGCAGAGGAUGCUUCGGGUGCGGCCCCUGUCUAAGUGCCCUGGAACGGGCCGUCAGAGAGGGUGAGAAUCCCGUCUUGGGCAGGGUGCCCGUGCCCGUGUGAAGCUCCUUCGACGAGUCGAGUUGUUUGGGAAUGCAGCUCUAAAUGGGUGGUAAAUUUCAUCUAAAGCUAAAUACCGGCCGGAGACCGAUAGCGCACAAGUAGAGUGAUCGAAAGAUGAAAAGCACUUUGAAAAGAGAGUUAAACAGCACGUGAAAUUGUUGAAAGGGAAGCGCUUGCGACCAGACUCGGCCCCGGGGUUCAGCCAGCACUCGUGCUGGUGUACUUCCCCGGGGGCGGGCCAGCGUCGGUUUGGGCGGCCGGUCAAAGGCCCCAGGAAUGUAUCGCCCUCCGGGGUUGUCUUAUAGCCUGGGGUGCAAUGCGGCCAGCCCGGACCGAGGAACGCGCUUCGGCACGGACGCUGGCGUAAUGGUCGCAAACGACCCGUCUUGAAAC